GCCAGACUGGCUCAGUUGGUAAAGCACAUGACUCUUGAUCUCGGGAUUGUGAGUUCAAGUCCCAUGUUGGGUG
Molecule: transfer RNA, 73 nt
Filed under: Felis catus (domestic cat)
Lineage: Eukaryota; Metazoa; Chordata; Mammalia; Carnivora; Felidae
Also listed under: 4 other names
Rfam family: tRNA
About the family: Transfer RNA (tRNA) molecules are approximately 80 nucleotides in length.
Source: Rfam by way of RNAcentral